GAGGCUUAGCCGCCACCGCGCGCUUCGGAAGGCCGGAGGGAGGGGGAGGCCUGUCAGUCUCGCGCGUUGCCUGGGCGAAGGGGGCGGAGCUUUGGCGUGGGGCGGCCAAUAGUGGGGGUGGCUGCGUGGGUCGCCAUGGGGACGGGGCUGUUCCCGGGGAGGCUGUGAUGGGUUGACAGGUGCGUGACAGUGGGAGCUGCUCUCGGCACAAGCAUGUACGGCAAAGGCAAGAGUAACAGCAGCGCCGUCCCGUCCGACAGCCAGGCCCGGGAGAAGUUAGCACUCUACGUAUAUGAAUAUCUGCUCCAUGUAGGAGCUCAGAAAUCAGCCCAAACAUUUUUAUCAGAGAUAAGAUGGGAAAAAAACAUCACAUUGGGGGAACCACCAGGAUUCUUACAUUCUUGGUGGUGUGUAUUUUGGGAUCUCUACUGUGCAGCUCCAGAGAGACGUGAAACAUGUGAACACUCAAGUGAAGCAAAAGCCUUCCAUGAUUACAGUGCUGCAGCAGCUCCCAGUCCAGUGCUAGGAAACAUUCCCCCAGGAGAUGGCAUGCCAGUAGGUCCUGUACCACCAGGGUUCUUUCAGCCUUUUAUGUCACCUCGGUACCCUGGAGGUCCAAGGCCCCCAUUGAGGAUACCUAAUCAGGCACUUGGAGGUGUCCCAGGAAGUCAGCCAUUACUCCCCAGUGGAAUGGAUCCAACUCGACAACAAGGACAUCCAAAUAUGGGUGGGCCAAUGCAGAGAAUGACUCCUCCAAGAGGAAUGGUGCCCUUAGGACCACAG
This 783-nucleotide long non-coding RNA is filed under the name Pan troglodytes (chimpanzee). Its description in RNAcentral is "long non-coding RNA NONPTRT013496". Lineage: Eukaryota; Metazoa; Chordata; Mammalia; Primates; Hominidae. The record is from RNAcentral.